Molecule: ribosomal RNA, 253 nt
Filed under: uncultured bacterium
Lineage: Bacteria
Description: partial 16S ribosomal RNA
Rfam family: Bacterial small subunit ribosomal RNA
Source: RNAcentral
GACGGAAGGUGCAAGCGUUGCUCGGAAUCACUGGGCGUAAAGGGUGCGUAGGCGGCUUGGUGGGUCUGGUGUGAAAGCCCCGGGCUCAGCCCGGGAAGGGCGCUAGAAACUGCCGAGCUCGAGUGCCGGAGGGGAGAGUGGAAUUCCUGGUGUAGCGGUGAAAUGCGUAGAUAUCAGGAGGAACACCGGUGGCGAAGGCGGGACUCUGGGCCGAUACUGACGCUGAGGAGCGAAAGCGUGGGGAGCAAACAGG